Molecule: non-coding RNA, 1170 nt
Organism: Cajanus cajan (pigeon pea)
Lineage: Eukaryota; Viridiplantae; Streptophyta; Magnoliopsida; Fabales; Fabaceae
Source: RefSeq, a predicted model, not a curated record
CAAUGAGAAAAGCAAUUGGCGAAUAUUAGAAUAAAAUAUUAUCGUUUUUGAGUGUGGCGUGGUUGGGUAUAUCACUAUAUCGUAUAUUAUAAAGAAGGAAGCGUGGAAAAAGAGGUUGUGAAUCGAAACGGAAGAAAAUGGGUUGUUCUUUGGUGUGGUUGGUAAUUGCGAUUCAAGCGUGGAAUUGGGGAGUGAAGGCGCAAGUGCAAGUGGAAGGCUUCAGGAACAUAUUUAUACUAGCGGGUCAGAGCAACAUGGCGGGUCGAGGGGGCGUCGUCAACGACACGUGGGACGGCGUCGUUCCGCCCCAGUGCGGCCCCAGCCCCUCCGUGGCCAGGCUGGACGCGCACCUCGCGUGGGUGGAGGCGCGUGAGCCUCUCCACGCGGACAUCGACUCCAAGAAGAGCAACGGUGUUGGGCCGGGUAUGGCCUUCGCCAACUCCGUCUUGGACACUCACCCACAGUUGGGCCCAAUCGGUUUGGUCCCUUGCGCCAUCGGAGGCACCAAUAUAAGCGAGUGGGAACACGGAAAAUACCUCUACAAUCACAUGAUAAAGAGGGCCAAGGCAUCGUUGCGUCACGGUGCCUCUAUUCGUGCUCUUCUCUGGUUUCAAGGAGAGUCCGAUACGGUCAAUCUACACGAUGCACAGUCCUACCAAACAAGACUCCAAAAGUUCUUCUCCCACGUUCGUCAUGAUCUACAGUCUCCGUUGCUUCCUAUAAUCCAGGUAGCUCUGGCAUCUGGAAUGGGCCCUUACAUAGAGAUAGUAAGACAGGCUCAGCUGAGCAUUGACUUCCUAAAUUUGAGAACAGUGGACGCUCAUGGAUCACCCCUUCAGCCCGAUGGGCUACACCUUUCGACACCGGCCCAGGUGCAUCUUGGGCAGCUGAUGGCUAACGCAUUCCUUCAGUUCGUACCAUCCUCAAAUCUAAAUCACAACGUUAGCCCAAUUCGUGAUGAGGCCAUCAGGCUUUAUAUUUCUACCUUUUAUGUUUAUAUGCUCCCCUUGUUCAUAACGUUUAUCACAAUUAUGCACAAAACUUUCUUAUAGUACCAUUCUUUUUUCAUUACUAUUUUCACCCAUAGGCAUAAACACAAUCAUGAAGUGAGAUUAUAGAGUAUGUAAGAAAAUUCAAGCAUUGUAUGAAUCAUUUCAAUUUAAAGUGAGA